RNAcentral lists this ribosomal RNA (253 nucleotides) under uncultured bacterium. RNAcentral's name for it is "partial 16S ribosomal RNA". It matches the Rfam family "Bacterial small subunit ribosomal RNA", at positions 524 to 776 of the family's 1533-position model. The record is from RNAcentral.
UACGUAGGGUGCGAGCGUUAAUCGGAAUUACUGGGCGUAAAGCGUGCGUAGGCGGUUCGUUAAGUCAGCUGUGAAAGCCCCGGGCUCAACCUGGGAACUGCGGUUGAAACUGGCGAACUAGAAUCUGGCAGAGGGGGGUGGAAUUCCACGUGUAGCAGUGGAAUGCGUAGAGAUGUGGAGGAACACCGAUGGCGAAGGCAGCCCCCUGGGUCAAGAUUGACGCUCAUGCACGAAAGCGUGGGGAGCAAACAGG